Molecule: ribosomal RNA, 117 nt
Filed under: Candidatus Jacksonbacteria bacterium RIFCSPLOWO2_02_FULL_43_9
Lineage: Bacteria; Candidatus Jacksoniibacteriota
Source: RNAcentral
CUCAGUGUCUUGAGCGAAGAGGAAACACCUGUUCCCAUCCCGAACACAGAAGUUAAGCUCUUCAGCGCCGAUGGUAGUUGGGUGUACUUACCCUGCAAGAGUAGGCCGAUGCUGGGA